UACGGAGGGUGCGAGCGUUGUCCGGAAUCAUUGGGCGUAAAGGGCGCGUAGGUGGCCCGGUCAGUUCGUGGUGAAAGCGCGGGGCUCAACCCUGCGUCGGCCAUGAAUACUGCCGCGGCUGGAGCACUGUAGAGGCAGGCGGAAUUCCGGGUGUAGCGGUGGAAUGCGUAGAGAUCCGGAAGAACACCGGUGGCGAAGGCGGCCUGCUGGGCAGUUGCUGGACACUGAGGCGCGACAGCGUGGGGAGCGAACAGG
Molecule: ribosomal RNA, 255 nt
Filed under: uncultured bacterium
Lineage: Bacteria
Description: partial 16S ribosomal RNA
Rfam family: Bacterial small subunit ribosomal RNA
Source: RNAcentral